GACGAACGCUGGCGGCGUGCCUAAUACAUGCAAGUAGAACGCUGAAGCUUGGUGCUUGCACCGAGCGGAUGAGUUGCGAACGGGUGAGUAACGCGUAGGUAACCUGCCUGGUAGCGGGGGAUAUCUAUUGGAAACGAUAGCUAAUACCGCAUAACAGUAGAUAUCGCAUGAUAGCUACUUGAAAGGUGCAAAUGCACCACUACCAGAUGGACCUGCGUUGUAUUAGCUAGUUGGUGAGGUAACGGCUCACCAAGGCAACGAUACAUAGCCGACCUGAGAGGGUGAUCGGCCACACUGGGACUGAGACACGGCCCAGACUCCUACGGGAGGCAGCAGUAGGGAAUCUUCGGCAAUGGACGGAAGUCUGACCGAGCAACGCCGCGUGAGUGAAGAAGGUUUUCGGAUCGUAAAGCUCUGUUGUAAGAGAAGAACGAGUGUGAGAGUGGAAAGUUCACACUGUGACGGUAUCUUACCAGAAAGGGACGGCUAACUACGUG
Molecule: ribosomal RNA, 497 nt
Filed under: uncultured bacterium
Lineage: Bacteria
Description: partial 16S ribosomal RNA
Rfam family: Bacterial small subunit ribosomal RNA
Source: RNAcentral